This is a long non-coding RNA of Herpailurus yagouaroundi (jaguarundi), 409 nucleotides long. RefSeq lists it as uncharacterized. The record is from RefSeq and is a predicted model, not a curated record. NCBI's taxonomy places the organism in Eukaryota, Metazoa, Chordata, Mammalia, Carnivora, Felidae. The transcript has 4 exons.
CAACUACUUCUUGUGUGCUAAUUGAUCACUGACUCUUCUCACAACAACCCAUGGAGUGAGAUCUAUUACUGUUCUCAUUUUCACAGGUACUGAGCCUUAUCACAGGCACUGAGGAUAUAACACUUAAGACAGAUAAGAUGCACAGUUAUAUGGAGCCUACCUUCCAGUCAGAGGAGACAGAAUCUGUGCCGCAGAGGUACUCAAAAGACAAAAUAACACCAUCUGACACCUUGAAUUACUGAGUAAACUUUUGUACCACUGAAAACUCACAUCAGGUGCUUGGACAGAAUUGUAGGGGGAGGACAGCCCUUGUCAUCUGGUGUAGGAUAAAAGACAUCUCUACAGAAGCUACCAACAGUCUGAGAUUUAUUUCUUUGGAUGACCACAGAUGUACUGCUGAGAUAAAACC